This 384-nucleotide ribosomal RNA is filed under the name uncultured bacterium. RNAcentral's name for it is "bacterial SSU rRNA". It matches the Rfam family "Bacterial small subunit ribosomal RNA", at positions 29 to 414 of the family's 1533-position model. The record is from RNAcentral.
AUUGAACGCUGGCGGCAUGCCUUACACAUGCAAGUCGAACGGCAGCGCGGGAGCAAUCCUGGCGGCGAGUGGCGAACGGGUGAGUAAUAUAUCGGAACGUGCCCAGUAGUGGGGGAUAGCCCGGCGAAAGCCGGAUUAAUACCGCAUGAGACCUGAGGGUGAAAGCGGGGGAUCGCAAGACCUCGCGCUAUUGGAGCGGCCGAUAUCAGAUUAGCUAGUUGGUGGGGUAAAGGCCUACCAAGGCAACGAUCUGUAGUUGGUCUGAGGGGACGACCAGCCACACUGGGACUGAGACACGGCCCAGACUCCUACGGGAGGCAGCAGUGGGGAAUUUUGGACAAUGGGCGCAAGCCUGAUCCAGCAAUGCCGCGUGCAGGAAGAAGG